CCUGAAAAAGGGCCAAGCAGAUGAUGGAGAGAUGAACCACAGACUGCACGGCCACUCAUGGAGGAGAUCUUUCCAGCACAAUCUCCCCUAUAUGUUUUUUUUUUUUUUUUUUUUUUUUUGCAUCCGGGUCCAGACAAGCUAGGAAUCUGAGAGAUCGUUUCUUCAUUCUGACUUUGAGAGACAGACCUGUCCUUGGCUUCCCAUUCCAACACUGGACCUCCUCACCAAACUUGUGAGACUCAGGUACAAAAAAACCAGAGAGAUCCCAGAGCAUCACAAAACAUAUCGCACUGCAUCAACACUGAAUUGAAAAUGUAACAUGUCCAUCGUUAACUACCCAAGCUUUCAAUACUUCUGCAUGCAAAGAGACUCCUCCUUCCUACGCACGUCCUGACUACCUGUCAAUCAUGCUCCUGGGCUGUAUCAGUGAGAGCCGCAAGACUUUUAACCGCUAGUUUAAAUGGAAGACCAUACUAUUGCUACUAGUUUGGCUACAUGUUUGAAACUGACUAUAUCCUAUUUACAAGACAGGAUAUAACACAGGUAACUAACCUUAAGAGCUACUGAAAUGUGUUGACCGUGAGUGAGGCUGUCGAGAUGGUUAAGUGGGAGAAGAACUUAAACUGCUCAGUAAGUGCCCGAGUGAGGAGCUUCAGUGUCAGAGACAGAACAGUCUCAAAACAGGCAGGAGAUGGGACAGGAGAUGAAAGACAUUUAGAUCUGUUCUUUGACACACACACACACACACACAUAUACAAAGAGUGGGUGGUUUUUAUUUAUCUAAAAUAUAGUUAGAAUAAUGUGAGAACCUGAGCUUCCCUCAAAGUAUCAUUCAAAGGAAGCAAUAAUCCAAACUAUUAUGUCUUAACGAGCUCUGGUUUGGGGUUAUCAGAUCAACAACAGCACAAACUGUGCCUUCUCCGAACACAGAGUUGUUAGUGGUGACAGGUGAGGCCGCUAGAACAAGCCAUAGCUUAUGCUCUGUAUGAGGUGUGUGCUCUGAUCCUUCUUUUGAAGGCCAGGGCAGGGGGGAUAUCAAGACAAAUGCCACCCGGUCCCAGCCUCCAGAGGCUCCCAGUAUAGUUAGCGAAAGAAGGCAGACAUCAUUAAUUAGGUAGGCAUGGUCCACAGCUGCCACAGUAGACAGUGCAAUGAGAGCACAAGGGAGGAAAGAGGGCUUACAAGACAAUUCAGAGUACUCUCUGGGGCCAGGCUGGGACAAAGAUGUGCUGAGCACCACCAAUUCCAUAUGCCCGGCAGAUGGGAUCGUCAUCAUUGGCUGUGACAAAUGAGAGGGAUCUCAACUCAGGGUACCAGGGCCAACUUGGCGUUAUGAUGAGACUUAAUACUGCUCUGGCAACCUUGCAUAGGAGACUGGUAUAGCCUGGAGGAGGCAGGAAACACCUUUGAGAUAAUACACUGCUCUACCUAAGAGGAUGGAACCCGUGAAGCCAGUUGAUUCUGCUCUUUCCCCGCCAGGCCUGGACUUCCUCUUGGAAGUCACUAGUUCUCUCCUUUUGUCCCUUUCCUUUCUCAUGGGCUUCUGGAGAACUAACUAUGCUUAUCUCUAUUUUUCCUUGCUCGAAAACUGUUCACAUUUCAGAUUCUGCACAAUUUUGAAACAGUAUGUGGCAUUUCCAUGGUAGACGUUCAUCCCAGGACAACCCAGGAUUUAUCUGUCCUGAAGAUAUCUAUAAUCUCUGCAAGGCAAUUAAGACUUAAAACUAUUUCUAAUUUUUUGCUAUGUAAUGAGAAGAUUUCUAAAAUUAAAAAAAAAUCUUUAUAGUGCUGGGUUAUUCUAACAUUUAAAACCCCCAAACUAGCCAUCUAAAUGCUAAUCCGAACACAGAGGGAGGACUCCUUUUUUUUCUUCUGCCCCUAUUAGCCUAUCAUGUCUCCUGACUGGAUCACCACCGUAAGCCCCAUUCCAAAACUGGGUCGCAGCAUCCAUUUCCCCUCUUCCUGUAUCUAUUCCCCAGUGUGGGCAAAGUCAUCUUUUAAGAAAAUAUUAAGAGGCCGGGGAGAUGGCUCAGUCAGUAAGAGCUUCCUGUAGAAGCGUGAGGAGCAACGUCUGGAUUCCCCAGGACCCACAUGAAAAGUCGGGUGCAGCUGUGUGCUCUGCAGUCCUAACUCAGAGGAGUUGGAGGAGAAAAAUGCCCUGGGUCUAACUGGCCGGCCAGUGGAGCUGAGUGGGUGAGCUCCAGGGUUGGUAAGAAUUCCUGUGAAGAGUGAUUAAGAAAGAUGCUCAAUGGCCUCCAUACAUACAGCCCCCUCUACAUAUACAUGGACGCGUAGAAAAUGCCAAUCUUUGCCCUGAGGGUCAAAUUCCAAUUUUGUGCUGUGGCUUAUAGGCUUUCCCCAAGCUCUCCUGUUCCCAUCAUCUCCACUUACUGAGCUUCCCGACAUGCCGCUUCUAAGCUUAUGCCUGCCACAUGCCUUGCACACAUUCACUCAGUCCCCCAGCCCAGACGAGGGUCUUCAUCAGGAAGCCUUCCUGUUGUUGCUCCGCCAUUAAUCACGCUGCUUCUCCCUCCCACAGCAUCCAGACUUGCUCACCUCACACACACCACGUUCCCUAAAUAACCCUCCUGGUCUGCCUCUCUGCCUCCAAGCUGCAAGCCCUAAGGACAGACUUUCUGUCCUCUUCUAGUUCCAUCUCUUCUCAACAGCAGUCUCUACCUCAGGGUGGGCACUGCUCGGACAGCCUGGCUACCAUCUAGCUUCAUUUUGACAAGAAUCUCCAAUGUCUUCCGCCCUGUGUAACACACACAGUGUUCCAUGAGUGAAUGUCAUCUUGAAUCACCUUAUCAUAUUUCAUAAGAGGAUAUGAUCUCCUAGUCCUCUAUGUAUUUAUCUGGGGUUAUGUUAUUCCUGGCUCUCGCUUUCUUUCGUGUUAAGGUUUCAUUUCAUAACUGAAAUUUCCAGAUGUAAAGUUAAAGAGUCUGAGCCAAAGGGUAUAGAGUUGAUUAUGGUUCCAAUGUACCUCUCAGUUAGCUUUGGAGGAGACCAAAGGUCUUCCCUGGACCAGAUGACUGAUGGCUAAGUGGCUAAUAUCUUGAUGGUCCACGAGAUCAAUUGAAAGCCAUUCACCUCCCCCACCUCCCAGGACCAGAAGUAAUAUCGCAUCAUCCUGUUUCCAUAAAAGGUGACAACCAAGGGAGAAAGAGCGGGUCUAGGAGCGUUUCAUCUAGAACCCUUCCCCGAGUUUCACAGAUGAAAAAAGCCCCACGUGUCUGAAGCCCACGUUGUUCAAAUUAUAACACUAUAUGCUGACCCACAUGUUCUGUGAAAGUCACACAUGAAUUUACCCCAACCCAACAUCCCCAUCAAAAGUCACUAACCCAGUGUGGGUGAAAACGGCAGUGAAGAGGGACAUGAGAAAUGGUGUCCACAGGCUGAUGAGCAAACACUGACCCCUGAGCUCUGAUGUCAUGACCCCAGGAAUCCCCUUUCCCAGAUAAUGGCAAUUUUCACAACCUUUCCUAUUUGUUGGUUUUCAACCAUUCAGGAGAUGGGGGAGAGGAGAUGAAAGAGAUUUAGAUCUGUUCUCUGACUAUACCCCAUCCCUGCCAUGCCAGCUUGCUUUAAGAAUUAUACAAUUGAUUAAGAUUACCAAAUUGAAAGCCGGGAAUGGUGGCGCACACCUUUAAUCCCAGCACUCGGGGAGGCAGAGGCAGGUGGAUUUCUGAGUUCGAGGCCAUCCUGAUCUACAGAGUGAGUUCCAGGACAGCCAGGACUACACAGAGAAACCCUGUCUUGGAAAAAAAAAAGAUUACCAAAUUGAACACGCAUUUUCGUGCUGCACCCAGAUAGGUACAGAAGAGAUUGAUAUAGUCACACUUGCUGGAGACAGAAUGGAACUUGCCACAUUCUCCGUCAGGUGAUGUCACAGACAUCAAGUAGGACAGACUGUGACGCAGCAAGUCCAACCUAUGCUUCCAGGUUUUCAGGGGACAGAGUUCAGCCUCCUAUUGGCUGUACAUACUUAUCUUCAUGUGAGACACCCAGCCAAGACUCUCGUAUUCCCCACGGUUUAUUAUCACUACGAGGAAGAACAGCCAGAGUAAACUUGCCUUUCUAGAAAAAGUAACAGCAGAGAACAUGGCGCCAUGACCUGCGGUGUGGUCGUUAACCGGCACUGAGAAGAGACAGAUGUCCAGCUGACAUAUCAACAAACAAAGCCAACAGGAGGGAGAUCAGUACUGAAAGGAAACGAGCCUCCGGAGAGGCCUGGAGCCCUGCACACGUCCUCAGAAGCCCUGGGACUGCUCACUGGGACUUAGUUCAGAAACUGAACACAAUAAAAGAAAUGUGGCUAAAGGUUGGUCUGGUGGUUUGGAGAGAAGGAAGAUCUACAGUACAAAUUUCAUUUUCUGAAAUUUUUCACUACGGCGUAUUUUAUGGAUUUAGAAAACUGAUUUAAGAGGCGAGAGCUUGUUAGACCUUGUUGCUUGCUUCUGGGUUGAAGGUUCUUUUGUUUCCUGGAAAUUGGCGCACACACACACACACACACACACACACACACACACACACACACACACACACAAAGAUACACAUUUCUUAGAGUUCAGUUGCCUGAGACUCUAUUUGUAUAAAAAAUUAAAAACAUUUCAAAGUAAAUUCAAUUAGUAAAUGUAUACUGCCUGAAUAGACUAUCCUAAAUGUAAUAUACUGAACAUGAGAAUUUUAGGAGAAAACCAAACUAGAGAUAAUAUAUUUUUAUGUUCCUUUAAGUAGCAAAGAGACUUAAGACCCAUGAAACAGCAUUAACAAGGUACUGAAAUAUACUUAAAAUUUUCUUCAAAAUAAAAAUGUUUUUUGUUUUUGUGUUAAAUGUAAGACAUAUAAGGUCUUUUUUAGCAAGACUUUAAGGCUCCUAGAAGUGUUAAGCCUGCAUCUUUCACGGGAACUGUGGAGAAGUGGCGUCACUAGCUAACAUUUUAUUGUAUAAGUGCAGGGGUAGGGGAGAAGGAGGAGGGAGUGACAGAGAGUAAAGUGCAGCCUUCUAGAGGAUCGAGUGAGAUCAGAAAAAGACAGUGAGUCAAAGGAUGAGAAAAAUGGAACAGCCUACAUGGUUUACUUUAGAUCCCGGGAGAUUACACGGGAUUCCUUGCUCGCUGGCACAGAGAAAGGUCUAGAAGGACAGGAUUCUGUUUGUCACCUCUAAAAUGAGGGUUCUGAUCGCCACCCUUUCUCCUCUGCACUCUGACUUCUGAGGGUAAACAUGGCAGCCUACAGCAAGUACACUUGACAUUUUGGUUCUUAAAUGCAAUGAUGUAUUUGACUUCAAGAACCCUUUCUGCUAUUACCAGCUUUCUGUCCACAGCACAUGAUAUCAGUAUCUUUAGAGAUGUGCCUCAGGUUUACAGCCUUGGCAAUGAGAACUCAGAUGUCCAGGGUUGGUAUGCUUAGGUCUGUUUAAUAAAAUCCUUUGAUGGAAAAACACAUUCUACAUAGCCUUAUAGAUUCUUUUAGAUUCUCUCCACCAUACAAAAAUCACCUAAAGUGAUUUGUGCCAGGAUAUAAAAGGCAAUAUAUUCAACAUUAUCUUAUUGAAAACAAAGCAGCAAUCUCCAUCUCAAAAAUUUUUUUUGACAACUUAUGCAUUAGUCUGGCUCAAUUAGUUCAAUGAUUAAUUUGGCAGAAAGUACUUCUGAAACUUAGCACCUACUAAGGAGAUUGCUGUGUGCCAGAAUUUGGGGACUGAAGUAUAAUUCAAUGGCUAUCUAAUUUAUCUAUUUUAAGUGAACAAUUCAAGUUGUUCUUUCUUCCUUUCUUUCUUUCUUUCUUUCUUUCUUUCUUUCUUUCUUUCUUUCUUUCUUUCUUUCUUUCUUUCUUUCUUUCUUUUUCUUUCUUCCUUCCUUCCUUCCUUCCUUCCUUCCUUCCUUCCUUCCUUCCUUCCUUCCUUCCUUCCUUCCUUCCUUCCUUCCUUCCUUUCUAUUUUAAGUAAAGUGACUGAUUUAGACCUUCACCCAGGUCAGUUUAGAAUAUCUUCACCUUUGAGGCGAUCCCUCAAAUUCUUAACCUUAUUCCCAAGACUCAGCCCUAGGCAACUUCUGAGCUACUUCUUGUUGCUACAGUGCUGCAGUUUCUAGAAGCUCACAUAAAGCUGAAGUCUGAUUUCUGUCCAUUUAAUAUGAUCUGAGACCCAUCCAUGCUACUAAACAUCAGUAAUUAUUCCUUACUCACAAGCAGUUUUCCACUGGAUACAAAGUCUGUAUUUCAGUUCUAUUUUAAGCCAGUGUGGUGGUGUCAGUAGGAAGGGUCGGCACAGGUUCACAGAUUUAAAUGCUUGGUCAUCAGGGAGUGGCCCUACUUGGCAGGCAUUAAGAGGUAAAGCCUUGUUGAAAUAGGUAUGCCCUUGUUGGAGGAAAUAUGUCACUGGGGAUGGGCUUUGAGGUUUCAAGGUCCCAAGCUAGACCCAGAGUCUCAAUUCCUGUUGCCUAAUACUCCAGAUGUAAAACUAUUAGCAAAUUCUCUAGCCCCAUGUCUGUUUGUGGGCUGCCAUGCUUCCCACAAUGACAGUAAUGGAUUAAACCUCUUAAUGUAAGCAAAUUCCAACUAAAUGCCUUCUUUAUAAGAGCUGCUGCAGCCAUGGUGUCUCUUCACAGCAAUAAAACCUUGACUAAGAUAGCCAAAGCAGAAUUGUUGGGUCUUACAGUAAUGCAGUACUUAACAUUUAAACAGCCUGCCAAACUGCUCCAAAGAGGCUGUGUCCCUUUUUGCUUCCACCAGAACUCCCAGGAUAACUUCAACUUUCUCCACAUCCUCAAUAACACCUUGGUAUUGACAGGCUGGAAUCAACCAUCUUGGUAGAUAAGGAAAACUUAAUGUUCCUUUAGUCUCUACAUUGCCAGUGGUAAAUCUUGUCAAGCAUCUUUGAAUGGACAUCUUUACCACUGUCUAUGCUUUCAUUCUGAGUCAAGUUAAAAGAGUUCUGUGUAUCUGUUGGUUCCAUGGCCUGGUACAUAAUAAAUACUUGACAAAUAUUUGUUUCAGGCUGUUUGUUGGUCUUUUGCUUUCUUAAUGGGAUCUUCUAAAGGUGUCUUAGUUUGGGUUUUACUGCUGUGAACAGACACCAUGACCAAGGCAACUUUUAUAAAAACAUUUAAUUGGGGCUGGCGUACAGGUUCAGAGGUUCAGUCCACGAUCAUCAAGGUGGGAGCAUGGCAGCAUCCAGGCAGGCAUGGUGCAGGAGGAGCUGUGUGUUCUACAUCUUCAUCUGAAGGCUGCUAGCAGAAUACUGGCUUCCAGGCACUAGGAUGAGGGUCUUAAAGUCCACACCAACAGAGACAUACCUAGUCCAACAAGGCCACACCUAGUCCAACAAGGCCACACCUAGUCCAAGAGAGCUACACCUUCUAAUAGUGCCAAGCAUAUACAUCACAGAAGGACACUUAGUUUUGAUGACAUUCAACUUAUCUUUUGUCUCAAUGCUCACAGCUUUUGUUUCUUAUCUAAGCAUUAUUCCGACACCCAACAUUUCAUUUCUUAUUUCUAGCAAAAUUCAUGUUUCACUAAAAUGUUCAUAGGUUAGCCCAAAUACUUAUGACCAUUUUUUUUAAACUGCUUUUAAUGUAGAGUUGAUUAGGGACCAAGGGCCAAAACAUAUAUGUGCAAAUCUAAUUGUUUCAGAGCUCCCUUUGGAAGAACACCCUCUCUCUAUUGUGCUGACAUGCUUGAAAGAGAUCAACUGACCACACUCACAAGACAGUCUACUCGUGGACUUGUUCUUCUGCUCCUUUAAACUGAGCAAUGCCACACUCUCUUAACUACUACAGCUUUACUUUAAGCCCUGAAAGCAAGAAGAGUUGAGUCUCUCAACUUUGCUUCUCUUUAUUGUUUAGAUAAAUCCACAUCAUUUGCAUUGCCACAUAAGUUUUAGAUUUAGUUUAUCAUCAUCUAUAAAAAAUACUUCCCAAAGUUUAGAUGAAGAUUAUAUGAGAUCUAUAGAUCUGAUUAGAAAAAAAUGAUCAAUACUGAAUUAGUUACCUAUUUCAUGAAUGUGGUACAUAGGGCAACAAUAUAGGUCUUUGUUUCUCUCAGUAGGACUAUGUAGCUCUCAGUGACUAGAUCUUACAGCUCUUAGGUUAAUUUCAUACUAAACUAUUUUAUUCCUUUUGAUGUUAAUACAUGUAAUCAAUCUUUGUUUUCAGCAUUUAGCAAUUUAUUUUUGUACCUGUGUCAUAUCCUGUAACCACCAUCAUUUCCUGAGUGUUCUAGUAGCUUUUUUAUACCAUUAUCAGGAUUUUGUAGCUAUUACGAUCUGGGAGUAAAACAAGUUCUAUUUCCUUCUAAUUUUCUUAGGCCUUUAACUCCUGGUUUUUGCCUUGAGUCAUUAAGGUUUCCAUUUGAAUCAGCAGUCAGUCUAGAACACACCAACAGCCCCCACAGCCUUUCUAUGAAGUCUGACAUUUGUAUGCCACUCGCUGAUGAACAACCACACUUUGCUAGUACAUACUGCCAGUGCUCAUCUGCUGAAAACCAGUUUCAACCACACUGAAUUGUAUUAUGUGAUCAUCAUUUAGGAGGGGGGAAAAAGAGAAUAGAAAAGAAAUGUGCUGCUAUCUAAUAAGCAUGAAUCUCAUAAACUUAAUAACAACCCUGACCAAAUAGAAUCCACGGGGGGCGUGCUCAAAGUGGCGAGUCCUCAGCUGAAGGUGGGCAGGCAAUCUUUGGACUCAACACACUCAUCAACCAUAAGAAAGGGCAAAAUUGAAAACCAUAGCAUGACACGGUAAAACCAUCACAAAACUUACGUAAAAUACAAGCUAUCAUUACUCGUUUCAUAUUUCAGGCCUUUGAGAGCAUGGUUGCCUUUAUGAUAAAUACAGUUCUUGCUAUAUUCGAGCACAAUUCUACUCACACACAAUCUAUGGGACAUAGACUAAGUGCCAACAUGCAGGAAGAACAAGGGCUCCAUCUACUCUUAAAAGGCUUUCUGCCCUUAGAAUAACAAUCCCUACUGAUAAGCCAGAAAACAGGCCUUCAUAUACGAGCAGCUUCCUAAUGCACACACAAUAAGCAAUGGAGCAAAAGCAAUUACUCGAGUUUCUUUGUUCGAAAACUCCUGAAUUCGGUUCCCUCUUUCUGGAGAGCACACUUCUCAGCCCAAAGUCCCGAGCCCCAACCUUCAAUUGACUGCUCAGGAUGCCUGGUAUUUGGUUUGGUUUCUGUCUGUCCCUGGAUUUUCUAGUAGUUUAGAAUCCACUGCACCAAUGAAGGAAGAAUUUCUCUUCCUGAUUUGUUUUGUUCCCAAAUAGGAGCCCGAAGGCUUGCACGCCAUAAUAGAAGGAUGACUGUGCAUAAAUAAGGUGCACAUGAAUGAAUGAAUACAAGGAGCUUGGUCUGGGAUACAUUUCCCCCCGAGUUAGGAUGAAAAACUCCCAGGAAGACAGAGGAAGAAAGGAUAUGAAGAUUUCUGAGUGCGGCAAUCUAGAUUUUUCUUUUCUUUUACUUCAGGGGCUGUCACGGGCAGCAGAGAAGUUGCAAGCAAGCUGUUAAAUUGUGGACCCAGAGCAAAGAAAGCCCUAGAAGUCCUUACCAGAGAUGAUUCAGACUGAAAUAUUUAUAACGUGGGUUCAGAAGGCUAAGAACGAGUGGCCAUGUUUCUGCUGAAAAGGAUUCAGAGUGAGAAAAAUGGAAAUGGGAUCAAAAAUGCUUUUCAUUAUGUCUUGAGUAAAUGCUUAAUAGAUGUUUUGGAUUUGGUUAAUUAGAAAGGAUUGCAGUAGGCUAUUUUCAGAAACAAAUACUAAUCAUAACUCUUUCUGUGCUUGGGGCAAUAUGCAAAACCUGUAACUACAGUAAGCAAAAUAAUCCCUAUACCGAGGAACAUAGCCAUCAUGUAUGGCUCUAAUUCUCAGCAAAACUACAGAAGAGAAUCCCCCCCCCCCACAUACACACACAAAAUCUCCUUCCUAUACCAUUAAAGAAACAUCAAUUUCUUAAAUUGAUCACAUAUGUAUAGUAAUGCCUUUCAAAGUUGUAAUUAGCAAAACCUUAGAAACAACUUACAUGACCGAGAGUCAAGGCAUUGCCAACUAAGUGCCCAGAGACUGUUAUCUUUUAUUGGAUAAAGUUUUAUUCAAACACCACUGUGUCUGUGCCUGCUUUCUUGCUAUAUACUAACGGUGGGUUUAAGCAACUGCCACUGAAAUUACAUAUGGCCCAAAAAACAAAAGAUCUACUGAUUGCUCUUUACAGGAAGUCUGCCAACACUAUAAUAAUUAAGCACAUUUAAGAUAAGACAAAAUUUUAGACAGGGUU
Long non-coding RNA from Mus musculus (house mouse), 10266 nucleotides. RefSeq annotates it as predicted gene, 42289. Lineage: Eukaryota; Metazoa; Chordata; Mammalia; Rodentia; Muridae. The transcript is spliced from 2 exons. The record is from RefSeq and is a predicted model, not a curated record.